UGCCAGCCGCCGCGGUAAUACGUAGGGUGCGAGCGUUAAUCGGAAUUACUGGGCGUAAAGCGUGCGCAUGCGGUUUUAUAAGUCAGAUGUGAAAUCCCCGAGCUCAACUUGGGAACUGCGUUUGAAACUGUAAGACUAGAGUGUGUCAGAGGGGGGUAGAAUUCCAUGUGUAGCAGUGAAAUGCGUAGAUAUAUGGAGGAAUACCAAUGGCGAAGGCAGCCUCCUGGCUCGAACACUGACACUGAGGUGCGAAAGCGUGGGGAGCAAACAGGAUUAGAUA
Molecule: ribosomal RNA, 280 nt
Filed under: uncultured bacterium
Lineage: Bacteria
Description: partial 16S ribosomal RNA
Rfam family: Bacterial small subunit ribosomal RNA
Source: RNAcentral